GUAGUAGGUAGGAUCCGGGGUGUUAGCCGUACCCCAUUCUGAAACCGGCUAUAUGCAGGGAUCAGUAACUGCUGGGUAAAUCCCUAGAUGGGUAAUACCUGCUUGGCACAUGGAAAUGAAUCUACGCCGGAGCGGGUGGUUGCAAGACAGGAUUCAUCCGAAGGGAUGACAUCCAAGUCUGAGCUGCCGAAAGGGACCAGGUCCGGGAGGGAGCAGUCCUAAGGCAGAGCAAUCACGCUUCUCCGUCAACGUAGUGGAUCUGGUGUGCCUUGAGAUGGGGUUAUCUGUCUAGGGCGGAACUAGCAGAGCUGCUAC
RNAcentral lists this signal recognition particle RNA (315 nucleotides) under Nitrosopumilaceae archaeon. Its description in RNAcentral is "signal recognition particle sRNA". It matches the Rfam family "Archaeal signal recognition particle RNA". Lineage: Archaea; Thermoproteati; Nitrososphaerota; Nitrososphaeria; Nitrosopumilales; Nitrosopumilaceae. The record is from RNAcentral.